AAAUUGAAGAGUUUGAUCAUGGCUCAGAUUGAACGCUGGCGGCAGGCCUAACACAUGCAAGUCGAACGGUAACAGGAAGCAGCUUGCUGCUUUGCUGACGAGUGGCGGACGGGUGAGUAAUGUCUGGGAAACUGCCUGAUGGAGGGGGAUAACUACUGGAAACGGUAGCUAAUACCGCAUAACGUCGCAAGACCAAAGAGGGGGACCUUCGGGCCUCUUGCCAUCGGAUGUGCCCAGAUGGGAUUAGCUAGUAGGUGGGGUAACGGCUCACCUAGGCGACGAUCCCUAGCUGGUCUGAGAGGAUGACCAGCCACACUGGAACUGAGACACGGUCCAGACUCCUACGGGAGGCAGCAGUGGGGAAUAUUGCACAAUGGGCGCAAGCCUGAUGCAGCCAUGCCGCGUGUAUGAAGAAGGCCUUCGGGUUGUAAAGUACUUUCAGCGGGGAGGAAGGGAGUAAAGUUAAUACCUUUGCUCAUUGACGUUACCCGCAGAAGAAGCACCGGCUAACUCCGUGCCAGCAGCCGCGGUAAUACGGAGGGUGCAAGCGUUAAUCGGAAUUACUGGGCGUAAAGCGCACGCAGGCGGUUUGUUAAGUCAGA
RNAcentral lists this ribosomal RNA (602 nucleotides) under Escherichia coli. RNAcentral describes it as "bacterial SSU rRNA". It matches the Rfam family "Bacterial small subunit ribosomal RNA", at positions 1 to 592 of the family's 1533-position model. The record is from RNAcentral. Lineage: Bacteria; Pseudomonadati; Pseudomonadota; Gammaproteobacteria; Enterobacterales; Enterobacteriaceae.